Molecule: ribosomal RNA, 273 nt
Filed under: uncultured soil bacterium
Lineage: Bacteria
Description: partial 16S ribosomal RNA
Rfam family: Bacterial small subunit ribosomal RNA
Source: RNAcentral
AGAAUCAACGCUGGCGGCGUGCCUCAGACAUGCAAGUCGAACGCGAAAGUCCCCUUCGGGGGAUAAGUAGAGUGGCGCACGGGUGAGUAACACGUAGGCAAUCUACCUUCGGGUGGGGAAUAACCCAGGGAAACUUGGGCUAACACCGCAUAAUGCAGCGGCACCACAUGGUGACAGUUGUUAAAGCGGGGGAUUUUAGGACCUCGCGCCUGAAGAGGAGCCUGCGGCAGAUUAGCUAGUUGGUAAGGUAACGGCUUACCAAGGCGACGAUCU